This 202-nucleotide ribosomal RNA is filed under the name uncultured bacterium. RNAcentral describes it as "partial 16S ribosomal RNA". It matches the Rfam family "Bacterial small subunit ribosomal RNA", at positions 524 to 718 of the family's 1533-position model. The record is from RNAcentral.
UACGUAGGGGGCUAGCGUUGUCCGGAAUCAUUGGGCGUAAAGCGCGUGUAGGCGGUCCGGUAAGUCCGCUGUGAAAGUCGGGGGGCUCAACCCUCGGAUGCCGGUGGAGUACUGUCGGGCUUGAGUACGGAAGAGGCGGAGUGGAAUUCCGUGGUGUAGCGGUGAAAUGACGCAGAUAGUCAAGGAGGAACACCAAUUGCGA